Molecule: long non-coding RNA, 197 nt
Filed under: Mustela putorius furo (domestic ferret)
Lineage: Eukaryota; Metazoa; Chordata; Mammalia; Carnivora; Mustelidae
Description: lncRNA (ENSMPUG00000024799.1)
Source: RNAcentral
UGUCAAUGGUCACUGGGUUGUUUCUACGUUUUAGCUGAUGAGAAUAAGGAGGCUGCGAACACAUGUCCCUUCCUCAGAGACUCCGCCCUGUAUGCUCCCAUUAGCUGCUGCCGCAUAACACACCACCCCAAGACUUACUGGUAAGCAGCAGCAGUCGUUUAUUAUGACUAGAAAUCUGCUCAGCAUGGGUGGCUCAU